UACGGAAGGCAGCAGUGGGGAAUAUUGCACAAUGGGCGAAAGCCUGAUGCAGCUAUGCCGCGUGUAUGAAGAAGGCCUUAGGGUUGUAAAGUACUUUCAUCGGGGAGGAAAAAAACAAAACUAAUAAUUUUAUUUCUUGACGUUACCCGAAAAAGAAGCACCGGCUAACUCCGUGCCAGCAGCCGCGGUAAUACGGAGGGUGCUAGCGUUAAUCAGAAUUACUGGGCGUAAAGAGCACGUAGGUGGUUUUUUAAGUCAGAUGUGAAAUCCCUGGGCUUAACCUAGGAACUGCAUUUUGAAACUGAAAUACUAGAGUAUCGUAGAGGGAGGUAGAAUUCUAGGUGUAGCGGUGAAAUGCGUAGAUAUCUGGAGGAAUACCUGUGGCGAAAGCGGCCUCCUAAACGAAUACUGACACUGAGGUGCGAAAGCGUGGGGAGCAAAACAGGGAUUAGAUACC
This 457-nucleotide ribosomal RNA is filed under the name uncultured bacterium. RNAcentral's name for it is "bacterial SSU rRNA". It matches the Rfam family "Bacterial small subunit ribosomal RNA", at positions 340 to 786 of the family's 1533-position model. The record is from RNAcentral.